Molecule: ribosomal RNA, 433 nt
Filed under: uncultured bacterium
Lineage: Bacteria
Description: partial 16S ribosomal RNA
Rfam family: Bacterial small subunit ribosomal RNA
Source: RNAcentral
AACGAACGCUGGCGGCAUGCCUAACACAUGCAAGUCGAACGAGACCUUCGGGUCUAGUGGCGCACGGGUGCGUAAUGCGUGGGAAUCUGCCCUUGGGUUCGGGAUAACAGUUGGAAACGACUGCUAAUACCGGAUGAUGACUUCGGUCCAAAGAUUUAUCGCCCAGGGAUGAGCCCGCGUCGGAUUAGCUAGUUGGUGAGGUAAGAGCUCACCAAGGCGACGAUCCGUAGCUGGUCUGAGAGGAUGAUCAGCCACACUGGGACUGAGACACGGCCCAGACUCCUACGGGAGGCAGCAGUGGGGAAUAUUGGACAAUGGGCGAAAGCCUGAUCCAGCAAUGCCGCGUGAGUGAUGAAGGCCUUAGGGUUGUAAAGCUCUUUUAACCGGGAUGAUAAUGACAGUACCGGGAGAAUAAGCCCCGGCUAACUCCGUG